GACGAACGCUGGCGGCGUGCUUAACACAUGCAAGUCGAACGGAGCGAAUGAAAGCUUGCUUUUAUAAGCUUAGUGGCAAACGGGUGAGUAACACGUAGGCAACCUGCCGACAGGAUGGGGACAACAUUCCGAAAGGAAUGCUAAUACCGAAUGAAGUCGAGGGAGGGCAUCCUCCUCCGAUGAAAGAUGGCCUCUAUAUAUAAGCUAUCACCUGUCGAUGGGCCUGCGUCUGAUUAGCUGGUAGGUGAGGUAACGGCUCACCUAGGCGACGAUCAGUAGCCGGUCUGAGAGGAUGAACGGCCACAUUGGGACUGAGACACGGCCCAGACUCCUACGGGAGGCAGCAGUGGGGAAUCUUCCGCAAUGGGCGCAAGCCUGACGGAGCAACGCCGCGUGAGUGAAGAAGGUCUUCGGAUCGUAAAGCUCUGUUGAUGGGGGACGAACGUGCCUAAUGCGAAUAGUAUUAAGGUAAA
Molecule: ribosomal RNA, 473 nt
Filed under: Centipeda noxia
Lineage: Bacteria; Bacillati; Bacillota; Negativicutes; Selenomonadales; Selenomonadaceae
Description: bacterial SSU rRNA
Rfam family: Bacterial small subunit ribosomal RNA
Source: RNAcentral